AUCGAAUAUUCAUCAUAAAUAGAUGGUUUAAGAUGUCAAAAAAAUUAUUUAUUUGGUGAAUAUAAUACAUCAAAUAUUACAAAUACAUCAUUUAGUUAAAUAAAUAACCAUAAACCGAAAAUUUAUAUCCGCGCGAGUAUUCCUUAGUUAACAAAAGGAACAUGCAGAUGCAAUCCAGCAAUUACCACUACCUAACCUAACUAAUCU
Molecule: long non-coding RNA, 207 nt
Filed under: Brassica napus (rape)
Lineage: Eukaryota; Viridiplantae; Streptophyta; Magnoliopsida; Brassicales; Brassicaceae
Description: long non-coding RNA (BNAP_LNC026588)
Source: RNAcentral